GGAACACCGGUGGCGAAAGCGGCUCUCUGGCUUGUAACUGACGCUGAGGCUCGAAAGCGUGGGGAGCAAACAGGAUUUGAUACCCUGGUAGUCCACGCCGUAAACGAUGAGUGCUAGGUGUUAGACCCUUUCCGGGGUUUAGUGCCGCAGCUAACGCAUUAAGCACUCCGCCUGGGGAGUACGACCGCAAGGUUGAAACUCAAAGGAAUUGACGGGGGCCCGCACAAGCGGUGGAGCAUGUGGUUUAAUUCGAAGCAACGCGAAGAACCUUACCAGGUCUUGACAUCCCUCUGACCGCUCUAGAGAUAGAGUUUUCCUUCGGGACAGAGGUGACAGGUGGUGCAUGGUUGUCGUCAGCUCGUGUCGUGAGAUGUUGGGUUAGGUCCCGCAACGAGCGCAACCCCUAUUGUUAGUUGCCAUCAUUCAGUUGGGCACUCUAGCGAGACUGCCGGUAAUAUACCGGAGGAAGGUGGGGAUGACGUCAAAUCAUCAUGCCCCUUAUGACCUGGGCUACACACGUGCUACAAUGGCUGGUACAACGAGUCGCAAGCCGGUGACGGCAAGCUAAUCUCUUAAAGCCAGUCUCAGUUCGGAUUGUAGGCUGCAACUCGCCUACAUGAAGUCGGAAUCGCUAGUAAUCGCGGAUCAGCACGCCGCGGUGAAUACGUUCCCGGGCCUUGUACACACCGCCCGUCACACCACGAGAGUUUGUAACACCCGAAGUCGGUGAGGUAACCAUUNGGAGCCAGCCGCCU
RNAcentral lists this ribosomal RNA (755 nucleotides) under uncultured bacterium. Its description in RNAcentral is "bacterial SSU rRNA". It matches the Rfam family "Bacterial small subunit ribosomal RNA", at positions 703 to 1458 of the family's 1533-position model. The record is from RNAcentral.